Molecule: ribosomal RNA, 244 nt
Filed under: uncultured bacterium
Lineage: Bacteria
Description: partial 16S ribosomal RNA
Rfam family: Bacterial small subunit ribosomal RNA
Source: RNAcentral
CCGGCGAGUGGCGAACGGGUGAGUAAUAUAUCGGAACGUACCGAGUAAUGGGGGAGUAACCAAUCGAAAGAUUGGCUAAUACCGCAUACGUCCUGAGGGAGAAAGCGGGGGAUCGCAAGACCUCGCGUUAUUCGAGCGGCCGAUAACUGAUUAGCUAGUUGGUGGGGUAAAGGCCUACCAAGGCGACGAUCAGUAGCGGGUCUGAGAGGACGAUCCGCCACACUGGGACUGAGACACGGCCCAG